GUGAGGAAUAUUGCGCAAUGGAGGCAACUCUGACGCAGCCAUGCCGCGUGCAGGAAGAAGGCGCUACGCGUUGUAAACUGCUUUUAACCGGGAAGAAACCCCAGGACGUGUCCUGGGUUGACGGUACCGGAGGAAUAAGCACCGGCUAACUUCGUGCCAGCAGCCGCGGUAGUACGAAGGGUGCAAGCGUUAUCCGGAUUCAUUGGGUUUAAAGGGUGCGUAGGCGGAGCGUUAAGUCAGUGGUGAAAUCCUGCAGCUUAACUGUAGACUUGCCAUUGAUACUGGCGCUCUUGAGUGCGCUUGAAGUGGGCGGAAUGUGCCGUGUAGCGGUGAAAUGCUUAGAUAUGGCACAGAACACCAAUUGCGAAGGCAGCUCACUAAGGCGAUACUGACGCUGAGGCACGAAAGCGUGGGGAUCGAACAGGAUUAGAUACCCGGGUAGUCC
RNAcentral lists this ribosomal RNA (445 nucleotides) under uncultured bacterium. RNAcentral describes it as "partial 16S ribosomal RNA". It matches the Rfam family "Bacterial small subunit ribosomal RNA", at positions 354 to 796 of the family's 1533-position model. The record is from RNAcentral.